UACCUUGUAACUUGUGAAAGUCCUAAGUUGCAGAUUUAGUUAAGGAGAAUUUUUCCCUUGGUAU
RNAcentral lists this transfer RNA (64 nucleotides) under Isorropodon fossajaponicum. RNAcentral's name for it is "tRNA-Cys". Lineage: Eukaryota; Metazoa; Mollusca; Bivalvia; Venerida; Vesicomyidae. The record is from RNAcentral.